UACGAAGGGGGCUAGCGUUGCUCGGAAUCACUGGGCUUAAAGGGCGCGUAGGCGGCUCGCGAGGUCGGGGGUGAAAUCCCACGGCUUAACCGUGGAAGGGCCUUCGAUACCGGCGGGCUCGAGGAAGGUAGGGGUGCGCGGAACUUCUGGUGGAGCGGUGAAAUGCGUUGAUAUCAGAAGGAACGCCGGCGGCGAAAGCGGCGCACUGGAUCUUUUCUGACGCUGAGGCGCGAAAGCCAGGGGAGCAAACGGG
RNAcentral lists this ribosomal RNA (253 nucleotides) under uncultured bacterium. Its description in RNAcentral is "partial 16S ribosomal RNA". It matches the Rfam family "Bacterial small subunit ribosomal RNA", at positions 524 to 776 of the family's 1533-position model. The record is from RNAcentral.